This 73-nucleotide transfer RNA is filed under the name Stegodyphus mimosarum. It matches the Rfam family "tRNA". From Rfam's summary of the family: Transfer RNA (tRNA) molecules are approximately 80 nucleotides in length. Their secondary structure includes four short double-helical elements and three loops (D, anti-codon, and T loops). Lineage: Eukaryota; Metazoa; Arthropoda; Arachnida; Araneae; Eresidae. The record is from Rfam by way of RNAcentral.
GCCUUCGUGGUGUAGUGGUCAGCACGCUGGACGCGUAACCGAGAGGUCCGUGGUUCGAUUCCCGGGGAAGGCC